UACGGGGGGGGCAAGCGUUGUUCGGAAUUACUGGGCGUAAAGGGCUCGUAGGCGGCCAACUAAGUCAGACGUGAAAUCCCUCGGCUUAACCGGGGAACUGCAUCUGAUACUGGAUGGCUUGAGUUCGGGAGAGGGAUGCGGAAUUCCAGGUGUAGCGGUGAAAUGCGUAGAGAUGUGGAGGAAUACCGAUGGCGAAGGCAGCCCCCUGGGAUAACACUGACGCUCAUGCACGAAAGCGUGGGGAGCAAACAGG
Molecule: ribosomal RNA, 253 nt
Filed under: uncultured bacterium
Lineage: Bacteria
Description: partial 16S ribosomal RNA
Rfam family: Bacterial small subunit ribosomal RNA
Source: RNAcentral